CCGCUGCAGAACGCGCCUGCCCCGGAGCCGAUCGCCUCGGCGAGUACUUUCACUCAUCUUGAAAGAAAUGAGAGUGUGGAAAGCAUUAGAAAGCAGACAGUUUGAAGAGUACUGGGGACAGAUUUCAGCCCGCAAGUUCAAGAACACAAGGUACUGGAGUCCAGAGGAUCCUUUGGCUCUGGAAGCCUAAGGUUUGCCAUUUGAAGACUUUCACGUGGAACAGGAAUCAGUGCUUGAUAUAUUCCAGUAACUCCAGUGAGAAGCACAAUAUCAAAGGGUAAGAUGUAAAAGACAACAGACAGGAUCACUUUCAGAAUCAGCCAUGAACCGGUCAAAGGGAUACAGGAUUUUCAUUUUGCGUCAGUGAGAGCACAUCCCUGCAGUGAUCAGAAGAUUCAGUAAGAAUGGGCAUCAUCACAUUUUCCUGUAGGCUUACUGACAGCAAUGUGGUAAGAUUCAGCAUUCUAUUUCGUCAGUCAACAGAGUGGAAUAAAGAAAACAUGUAAGUUAUUUAAAAGCUAUUCUCAUCUGUGGUCAUAUCAGUUUCUGAGGCAUGAUUUUGCACAAGAUCAUGUAAAUGUUGGUGGCAAGCUUGUACGCCUUGACAUGGUAUCAAAAGCUGCUUGACAUAUUGGCAAGAACAUGACAGAGGCAAUCUAAAAAACCCCAAACAAACCCUGCUCUCCCAUAUCAGUGUAGGUUUUGAGAGUUCCCUUAGCAACCAGCACUGAACCUGCAUACCUAAUUGCUUCUUGCUAGUGAUGAGAAAAAUUGCGUACAUUUGUACUGUGGAUAUAUGAGAGAUAGGGGACGCGUCAGCCUUGCUCAGAUGCAAGUUUUCCUGGUGACAAGCAGCUAGAAAAGGAGGGGACUAUUUUUGCCAAUGGGAGCACAUACAUCUAUGUAAUGUACUCCAUUCGCAAAAUAAACAUUACUCUUGGUUAAUGUCUCAAUGUCUGUAACUGAUGGAAUCAGAAGGAAUGUUGUUGUUCCCCCUAUUCUUCCAUCUCAAAAUGAUGAUCCUUAAGCAGGAUGUAUGAGAGGGAAAAUAUGGCCAAAACAUUAUCUGCACUUGCUAGUGUCCCUUAACUUACCUGCUGCAGAGUUGUGCUGAUCCUCCUAUUAAUUAAUGUUUGCCUUCAAACCCACUGGAGUUACAGUGAAUCUCUCUGUGGCCUUCCAUGGAUGUGAGGCUCAGUCCUUCCCUGAGCUCAGGCAGGCAGUGAGACUACCUUAAAGUAGCUCCUGCAAGUAAAUCCCUUCCCAGGUUGCUCAGAUCUUUGGGAGCACUGCUGCAAACUACAACCCAAGCCCACAGUCUUCUCUAAUUUGUGUUGGGGACUAACCCAGCACUGCUGUGCUGGGCUGAUUUUUGCACUCAAAUUAUAAGCCUGAGACUCCAGCAACCGCUGCUGUGAAGUUUAACACAAAUAAAUGCCCUGUCGUUCUGCCAAAACACACUGUUCAUUGGGGUGCUGCAGAUGAUACGUAAUGAGUAUAAUUCCCAGCAUUUCAGAGGUAGUAUUGGCUGAGAUUAGCAAGACUAACUUAAUAAAGCACUAUCAUAAUUGCAUAUUCACUGGGAAAGGGAAAAAUAAUCAAAUGAAAAAGGACAAAACCAGCAGGGAAAGAAAAUUUAUUUCCAAGCAUCUACGAGAGUGCUACAAACAAUAGAGACUAAAACUCAAAGCAUUUAAAACUAUUAAAAAUGUAGUUGACAAUGUCCUUCUUAAAAAUCAAACAAAAAUGUAGAAAAUGCAGUUAUUAAUUCUAAAACUUGCUCAAUAGUGAAACAAAACCAGAUAGCAUCAAUGAGGAUGGAGUCCUACAAAUGACUUUUUUUUUUUUAACUUUAUUUCCAUUUGUUAAUUUGUAAAUUGAUACUCAUUUCAUUUUUUAAUGUUUAUUUAAAUUUAUAAUGGAGAAAUGUGCAAAUCUAGCAAAAUAUUCUUUGGAUUAUAAACAGAGAAAAAAUCAACAACCAAAGAAAUUUGAACUGAGUUAAUAAUAAACUAUAGAAUUAUAUAGAAUGCAUACAGCUAUAAUAAAGUGAAAUAUUACAAUAAACAUUGUAGAGCAAAUCUGCUGAUUUAGCAAACUUUGCCUUAUAAAACAUAGGGAUAUAAUGGGACAAUUGAAUAUGUUAUGAUUAUAGAGCUGAAACAUCAUUCAUAAUUUUAAUGAAUUAAAUUUUAAUCUAACUACACAUAUGGGGGGUCUUCAGAAAAGCAAUACACCAACAAAUCAGAUUUCCUCUCAGAUCAAGCAGUUUGGUACUUGACUGCAAAUGAAGGACAGGGUCUGUAAAAUGAACAGUAGAAAAAUGUAUAUCACUUCUAUUUAUUGCCUCUUCCCAUAUUGCAGCUGCUGAUCUCUGACCCUAAACAGCAAACUAUAUUAAAUUUAGCACAACUACAGCUGUACACAGAUGCUGAAAACGUUGAUGCACGGAACAUAUUCCAAUCCCUUGCUCAUUCUGAACUAAUAUAAAAAAAGUUAUAGAUCAUUUUUCAAUUAAAAACAUACAUUACAAAGAACAACUCUGAAAGCACUCUGUAUUUGUCAUCACAAAUUAAAAUGUCUUCCUAUCAGUGGACGAUGCUAUUCUACUGCAGUAAACAAAAACAAAAAAAUCAAAAUAAAAGUAAGUGCCAGAAUCUUAAUUAAUACUCAGGUAAGGUAAUUGUCAGGUAGAACAGUCUUUAGGGAAAUUAUAGCUAAAUUGGAUGAGAUUUAGGUCUCUAAAACCCGCAGAAGCUUAGCACAGAUAUGGAAAUCACAAGCCUGGAGUAAACUGUAAACACAGAGUGCUCCUGUCCACUUACAAAGUCAUUUCUGAAACCUCUGGAAUUCCUAAGAUAUAAGAUAAAUGCAUAUUACAUGGGACAUAUUUAAAAGUAUUACACUUAAUUUAAUCCAGAAAACACAGUCAUAUUAUAUGAAGGUUAUUACUGUGUUCUGGGAGCAGCCACAAGCUGUAGAUAGGGUACAAAAUGUUCACCAGACAUUACUUUUUUUUAAUCUAAAAAACAGUUGUAAAAUGUACUUGAUUUUUAAAUAAUCACUUAACAAGGCAACAAACCAACUACAAACACAUAAUAAAUAAGGCUAUUAAAAGGUCACAACUGUAGUAAAUUAGUCAGAACUAUAAAUGGGACAUUAGAAACACUAUGUUUUUCCUUAUAUGCUUAAUAACCAGAACAAGAAUUAAAAAAGAAUCAGUUUAUUUCAAAGUCUGCUUCUUAUAUUGAAGCACAUAUUAAAGCAACAGUACAAUGUUCAUAAAAUAUAAGUGUGAUGCUGUAACAUUUCUUACAUGUCAGAAUACUGAUAUUUGUAUGUAUACUAAAAUAAGAAUUUUAAAAUUGUACAAAUAGAUACAUUAAAAAUGACAUAGAAAUAGGGCGCCUCCCACUGCAACAAGACAGAGUUUUUAUAUCUGGCACGUAUUAGUUCAAGAUGAAAGUAUAAGCAAAAAGAUUUACAAGAAUCAGCAGUAACAAGUUUGAUGCUCAAGAGACAUAAUAAUUGUACAUUGUACUGUACAUACAUCAUAUGGGUUUAAGCUGGCUGAAUAUUAUAUAUUUCAAGUUUAAAAAUGCACUACCAUAUAGAGUGUCCAUAGUUUAAGGCGAAAUUACAGCUCAGAACUGUUAUCUUUUCUAAUUUGUGGAAGCUUCUUUGACAUAAAAGAUUUAGAUGUUCAUAACACAUAAAAGAUUUCCCUUAUUUGUAGGUUCACUUUUAGUAUUUUCCUUCAUUUAAAUAUUUUUUAUUUCUUAAGUGGUUUUUUUUCCUCUAGUGAAGUUGGCAGCCAACUUCUAUAUUUGCCUUUUGCAGGAAAAGGUACUUCACAGUAUUUACCACUUUUAUGUCCUUUUUUAUCAAAGGAAUCCUUUCUGUCAAACUUACAUGUUUAAAUGAGACUUUUCUUGAUUUUUAAAAAAAUACCUGCUUAAAUUUCUUCUGGAUUCUUCAGAACAUUGGACACAGUUCUUAAGGCCAAAUCUUAAACUUUAUUGUUAAGAAUCAUCAUCAAAAGUGUCUUUGGAGCCAUACAAGUCUGCAAGUUUCUUAAAUCGAGGUCCCCAGUUUUGUAGAUAGUCGUAGUCCAAAUCAGAAUCUGUUGUCGCUGACUCUAACGAGCUAAGUGAACCAGCCACUGAGCCUCUUCCUUCAUAGCCGUAGAUCUGAAUAGAGUCAUACGGAGGAGCAGUUGGAUCAUUAUCAGCUUCUUGUAUUCUUGUGUUGAUGAAAUCAUCAACAUCAACACUAUUGGGAGCCGGUCGAAGCCCUGGUCUUGGCAUAUACUGAUACUCAGGUUUUAUGUCUUUACGAGGAAUAAAUCCAUUGAUGCCAUCAGGGUUCUGCAAAGUAGCUAUGUCAAAAGCUUCAGUAUCUUCUUCUCCUCCACCUUCAUCAUCAUAAGUAAUAAUGUUCUCCCGGACAUCUUCUUCUUCAAAAACAAUCAGCGGUUCUUUUUUCUGCCUUUUCAGUGUUACAAACAACACUACAAUGACUA
Molecule: long non-coding RNA, 4522 nt
Organism: Cygnus olor (mute swan)
Lineage: Eukaryota; Metazoa; Chordata; Aves; Anseriformes; Anatidae
Exons: 4
Source: RefSeq, a predicted model, not a curated record